Molecule: transfer RNA, 76 nt
Filed under: Candidatus Pelagibacter sp.
Lineage: Bacteria; Pseudomonadati; Pseudomonadota; Alphaproteobacteria; Candidatus Pelagibacterales; Candidatus Pelagibacteraceae
Also listed under: 1 other name
Description: tRNA-Ala
Rfam family: tRNA
About the family: Transfer RNA (tRNA) molecules are approximately 80 nucleotides in length. Their secondary structure includes four short double-helical elements and three loops (D, anti-codon, and T loops).
Source: RNAcentral
GGGGUCGUAGCUCAAUUGGUAGAGCAUUACACUGGCAGUGUAAAGGUCAGGGGUUCGAUUCCCCUCGGCUCCACCA